Medicago truncatula (barrel medic) is the source of this 1475-nucleotide long non-coding RNA. RefSeq lists it as uncharacterized. The record is from RefSeq and is a predicted model, not a curated record. NCBI's taxonomy places the organism in Eukaryota, Viridiplantae, Streptophyta, Magnoliopsida, Fabales, Fabaceae. The transcript is spliced from 3 exons.
GUUUUUAAUUUAUUUGAAUUCUCUUUUGUUUUUUGUACAAUGUUUGAAUUCCCUUUAAAUUACUAGAUGAAACCUAGGAGAUAGAGGACAAAAGGGCAGAAUGUCAGAUCACUGGUACAAAAGGUUAGGAUGGAGGAACCUUUUUGGCAUCUCAGCAAAAAUAUGACCUUUUAGGAAAAAGGGUCCAGAUAGGGGAAUAAGGGAGCAACACCGUUGAGUUGCUUGGAGAAGGAGGUUUUAUGUUGGGAAGUGGGGGAGUGGGACAUUUCAGAGGACAUGUGGGGCAAAAGUAGUAGUGUGAGAAGAGGGAGAGAUCAAGAACAGCAGUCUCGUUAAGGAUAUUAAAUUAAGUAAUCCUUUAUUAUAAACGCCAGUCUUGCCAUGCUGCCAUCUUUGCCCUAAUCUCUCCCUAAUUUCCCUCCUAAUCCCAUAUUAAUUGCUAAGCUAAACUACCAACCACCCAAGUAAAUCUCAACCGUUGUUAAGAGGACGUUUCAUUUUCCCUCCCAAGCUUGCAUUAAUUUCAGUCAUUCCUCCCAACUACCCACUGAUCCAUUAAACAUUUAAUGUGGCCUUCCAUAUCUCUCCAUGCAGCAAGUGAAUUUGUAUUCCACGAGAAUUCUCUCCAACUCCCCAAUUCAUUGUGUACACAUGUCACCAUGAUUCAAAUUCAUUUUUGUCUAUGAACCCGGUAUAAAUAGUGGCGCACAUACAUUUGUGCUCCUUUGAAUCUAAUUCCAGUCACUGAUUUUGACAAAAUUGUGAAUGAAUUACGACUUCAAUACAAAAGGAUUUGCAUUGAGUUUCAUGUUAGGGAUGUAAGAAUGCUUCAGUGUCGUUUUUUUUUCCUGUGCUGGACUUGAAUCAAUGUGGUAACAAUUUGUUAUUCUCUUUUUAUGCAGGGCGCUAGAACGCCUACUCAAGGAGCAGCAAUGAUGAUCUUUAAUUUCCUGUUUUCUCUAUCACUCAGUUUCUUAAGGUUGUACCAGCUACGCUCCUCAUGUUUACCUCGCCAUCGUCUUGAAUAUUUUGUCGUUGAGAUUCAAGCGUGUAUUGUCUUUAAUAUUCAUCCAUAUUCCCUCCUCUACGAUUUAUCCCAUCAAACUAUAAAUAGAGUGAUUACUCAUGACUCUGACAUUGAGAAGGGCAUAUAUAACUCCAUUUUGCAUAUUAGUUUUAGCCUUUUUAUUUUUGAAAUAAUAUUAGCUUUAGUCCUUGAUAUCUAAGUUCUUUGUAUAUUCCACAAUAUUUUAUCCCCAAUAUAAUGGAAUUAGGGAGCCAAAAAACUAUAUGUAAUAGCACAAAUCCUCAUUUGAAAUAUAUGAAUCUUUAUCUUUUUUUUUUUUUUUUGCAAAAAAAAGCUUAAGUGUGUUCGAUUGGAUGAAUAUGAACCUUUUGUUGUUUUUUUUUUUUUAUGCAUAAACUUUUGAUCAUAAAGAUAAAAUAGGGUGUUGAAUAAGUGUUAGGGAAUAUGA